GGAUGAACGCUGGCGGCGUGCCUAAUACAUGCAAGUCGAGCGAACAGACGAGGAGCUUGCUCCUCUGACGUUAGCGGCGGACGGGUGAGUAGCACGUGGAUAACCUACCUAUAAGACUGGGAUAACUUCGGGAAACCGGAGCUAAUACCGGAUAAUAUAUUGAACCGCAUGGUUCAAUAGUGAAAGACGGUUUUGCUGUCACUUAUAGAUGGAUCCGCGCCGCAUUAGCUAGUUGGUAAGGUAACGGCUUACCAAGGCGACGAUGCGUAGCCGACCUGAGAGGGUGAUCGGCCACACUGGAACUGAGACACGGUCCAGACUCCUACGGGAGGCAGCAGUAGGGAAUCUUCCGCAAUGGGCGAAAGCCUGACGGAGCAACGCCGCGUGAGUGAUGAAGGUCUUCGGAUCGUAAAACUCUGUUAUUAGGGAAGAACAAAUGUGUAAGUAACUAUGCACGUCUUGACGGUACCUAAUCAGAAAGCCACGGCUAACUACGUG
This 498-nucleotide ribosomal RNA is filed under the name uncultured bacterium. RNAcentral's name for it is "partial 16S ribosomal RNA". It matches the Rfam family "Bacterial small subunit ribosomal RNA", at positions 27 to 507 of the family's 1533-position model. The record is from RNAcentral.